RNAcentral lists this long non-coding RNA (732 nucleotides) under Gallus gallus (chicken). The record is from RNAcentral. Lineage: Eukaryota; Metazoa; Chordata; Aves; Galliformes; Phasianidae.
CUGGGUUCUGAUUUAAUUUACUUUCCAACCUUUCAAUUUCAUUUAAAAGGCUGCUGAUGGCAUCAGGUUGUAUUUUUUUAACAUCAUCAUAACAUGGCCACACUAUUUUCCUCUUUUUCUGAGAGACUGAACCAUCUGUUUGGUCAGCUUCCUCUAAAGCACUGCAUUUUGCAGCCACCAUAUUCCAGUCAUAGGAAGGACCUGUAGCCAAAAUCUCUUCUACAUAGUAAUCCCACUUUUUGAGGCUGGACAUACUUACAUUUGGUUUCAGGGCCUCUAUUUCAGUGGGAGCAUAGAGGUAAUUGAAGAAAAUAGGGCUCCUCUUGUGCAUCUUUUCAAUACAUUCCCAAAUACAAACUCCUUUUUUGUUAUGUUUAUCUCCUUUAUCUUCAAACAGUGUCCCAUGUUCUAGUCUUUCAUAGUCUGAAUCCAGAAGAAAUGUUUUAAAUCGAUUUGAUAUGUGAUGAAAAGCUAGGAACUUCAGGUAAUACUGAUUGAACUCAAACUCUGUGGGAUAUUGGUUAUGAAUCUGAUGCACACAGUCUAAGAACUGUAAGAAAAUAGGUGCAAAUCCACUACCCUGACAAUUUAGAGUCAAAUUACUUCGCUGACUGAAUUUAUGACCAAAAGAGAGCCAUUCUUUUUCCACCAGCAUUCGGAAGCCUUCAAGUGUUCUAUAGAAGGGAUCGCUGAGUAACUGUACCAGAGAUACUACUUGUGCAGUAAUAUCCC